This is a long non-coding RNA of Schistocerca piceifrons (Central American locust), 390 nucleotides long. RefSeq lists it as uncharacterized. The record is from RefSeq and is a predicted model, not a curated record. Lineage: Eukaryota; Metazoa; Arthropoda; Insecta; Orthoptera; Acrididae. The transcript is spliced from 3 exons.
GCACCGGCCACGGAGACACCGUCAACGAGCCGCUGCAGUUCACCGUGCCGCGGCCCUCGUCCUCCUCCUCCUCCAGCUACACGCUCGAAACCAGCAGCUCCUCUGGGCUCGAGGUCGAGUUCCUCGCUCCAUGCAAUUUCCCACCACCACAGGGACCGCCCCAGUUACGUACACGUGAGGUGCAGUGUUACGGCCCAAACCCUUCAUUGCGUAAAAGUAGUGACAAUAAGGGUAAGAAGAAAAAGGGCGAGAAAAAGGCCGCUGCUCUCUGACAACCUAGUGCCUUCUCUGCGUAACUGCUGGACGUAUUCAUCCUGUAAGCAUCAAGGAAAAAUGUAGAAGAAGCAGUACAUUGUUGAUUGUUAUUCUCAUUUACAAGCAUCAUUUGAG